RNAcentral lists this ribosomal RNA (566 nucleotides) under uncultured bacterium. RNAcentral's name for it is "partial 16S ribosomal RNA". It matches the Rfam family "Bacterial small subunit ribosomal RNA", at positions 355 to 914 of the family's 1533-position model. The record is from RNAcentral.
UGGGGAAUUUUGGACAAUGGGGGAAACCCUGAUCCAGCCAUCCCGCGUGUGCGAUGAAGGCCUUCGGGUUGUAAAGCACUUUUGGCAGGAAAGAAACGUCGCGGGUUAAUACCCCGCGGAACUGACGGUACCUGCAGAAUAAGCACCGGCUAACUACGUGCCAGCAGCCGCGGUAAUACGUAGGGUGCAAGCGUUAAUCGGAAUUACUGGGCGUAAAGCGUGCGCAGGCGGUUCGGAAAGAAAGAUGUGAAAUCCCAGAGCUUAACUUUGGAACUGCAUUUUUAACUACCGGGCUAGAGUGUGUCAGAGGGAGGUGGAACUCCGCGUGUAGCAGUGAAAUGCGUAGAUAUGCGGAGGAACACCGAUGGCGAAGGCAGCCUCCUGGGAUAACACUGACGCUCAUGCACGAAAGCGUGGGGAGCAAACAGGAUUAGAUACCCUGGUAGUCCACGCCCUAAACGAUGUCAACUAGCUGUUGGGGUCUUCGGACCUUGGUAGCGCAGCUAACGCGUGAAGUUGACCGCCUGGGGAGUACGGUCGCAAGAUUAAAACUCAAAGGAAUUGAC